This is a long non-coding RNA of Morus notabilis, 711 nucleotides long. RefSeq lists it as uncharacterized. The transcript has 3 exons. The record is from RefSeq and is a predicted model, not a curated record. Lineage: Eukaryota; Viridiplantae; Streptophyta; Magnoliopsida; Rosales; Moraceae.
UUGGGAACUUGCUGGAUCAUUAUAGUCAUGGAAUUCCUGAAAUGCAGGAUAUGGAAAAGUUCCCCAUGGCUAACCCGCUUCGCUUCUUUCCAAACUCUUUGUUUUAUUUCUUCUUUUUUCCCUAGCUAAAAGUUCCUCGUUCAUCUUGUGCUUCUUGGCUCAGCUGAGGAGAAGAAACAAUACAAACCACGUUGUCCAAUAUCCUCAGUUAAAUUCCAAAGAUCCAAUUGAAAGACGGAGGACACUGGUUUCAUAUUGAGAGCAUUCUCUCAGUUAAAUUCUAUUCUCGUCAAUGAGACAUCGUCACCGAGUCGCUUGGAUCCCCAUCUAUCGAAAGCUUUACUCUUCCGAAAAGUUCGUUCUCUCAAGCGCUCUUUUCGAAUUCAUCAACUCUGUUCAACUGCAGCCAUAGUCCAGCAAUGUUCAACCAUCCAGCUUCCUCCAUUCUCUCAUCGAACUCUCGACAAUGAAAUUUUGUUUUCAAUUCAUUUCAUUGUUCAAGUGUUUGUAACUGGUGAAUGUUUCAAUUGCUACUAUGGAGGAGGCCAGUGCGCGACUAAUAGCAGAAAUAAUUUCCGUUGUUCAACUUCAACUGCACCAAAAGUUUCAGAAGAAAGCAAGAGACUAGGCUGAUAGGCGAAAAAGGGAUUCCAGCUUUGAAAAUCAAGUAAGUAGGAAUCUCGCCUACAGUAUAAAUAGAUUUUAAAGUAA